Molecule: ribosomal RNA, 755 nt
Filed under: Cellulophaga sp. MAR_2009_139
Lineage: Bacteria; Pseudomonadati; Bacteroidota; Flavobacteriia; Flavobacteriales; Flavobacteriaceae
Description: bacterial SSU rRNA
Rfam family: Bacterial small subunit ribosomal RNA
Source: RNAcentral
CAUGGCUCAGGAUGAACGCUAGCGGCAGGCUUAACACAUGCAAGUCGAGGGGUAACAGAGGAGCUUGCUCUUGCUGACGACCGGCGCACGGGUGCGUAACGCGUAUACAAUCUGCCUUACACUAAGGGAUAGCCCAGAGAAAUUUGGAUUAACACCUUAUAGUUUAUUUUUAUGGCAUCAUUUAAAUAAUAAAGUUUACGGUGUAAGAUGAGUAUGCGUCCCAUUAGUUUGUUGGUAAGGUAACGGCUUACCAAGACUACGAUGGGUAGGGGCCCUGAGAGGGGGAUCCCCCACACUGGUACUGAGACACGGACCAGACUCCUACGGGAGGCAGCAGUGAGGAAUAUUGGACAAUGGAGGAGACUCUGAUCCAGCCAUGCCGCGUGCAGGAAGACGGUCCUAUGGAUUGUAAACUGCUUUUAUACAGGAAGAAUAAGGACUACGUGUAGUCUGGUGACGGUACUGUAAGAAUAAGGACCGGCUAACUCCGUGCCAGCAGCCGCGGUAAUACGGAGGGUCCGAGCGUUAUCCGGAAUUAUUGGGUUUAAAGGGUCCGUAGGCGGGCUGUUAAGUCAGGGGUGAAAGUUUGCAGCUCAACUGUAGAAUUGCCUUUGAUACUGAUGGUCUUGAAUUAUUGUGAAGUGGUUAGAAUAUGUAGUGUAGCGGUGAAAUGCAUAGAUAUUACAUAGAAUACCGAUUGCGAAGGCAGAUCACUAACAAUUGAUUGACGCUGAUGGACGAAAGCGUGGGUAGCG